AUGACUGUAUCCUUUACCGAUAACCUUUGCAUCUUCCCACUGGUCAAGAGCUGUGGUUUGCAACCAGUUACGCUAAUGAAGACUGUGGCAUGCCCAGCCUCAUCUGGCUUUACACCAGCACCUGCGGAGAAUUUGACCCACGCCACUGAGUGCUUUGCCCAAUUAAAUGGUGCGGCAGUGGGACUAGUGCUUCCCCGUUACCUCCCAGCAGAAAGGCUGCAGAUUGCAGCUGGAUUUCUCGCAGCACCUGAGCACCUGGUGCAUCCUGAGCCACGCAGCUGGGCAGGCUGGCUUAGUGGCCAGCAGCUGGCAGGGAGCAGCUCUCCCUGUCCUGGACUAGAUCCUCAGUGCGCCACCAAAAGAAGAACCUCCGGGCUGUGUGACCCUGCCAUGGCACUGGUGUGGAGCUGGGACAUGGGGACCCUCUCCUGCUGCUCAUACCACCAGAGCAGCAGAGCACUUUCCCUGCAGGAUGCCUUUGUGCUGGCCAUGCCAUUCCUCUACAGAGGUGAAGCAGAGCAAGCCGGAGCAGGUCCAGGAGCCUUCAGACCUCCCCUCGCAGGCAGCCCUGGUGCAACAUUUCCCCAAACUGCCCAGCGCCCUGAUGCUGAGACCUGUCAGACCUUGCUCAUCCUAAUGUCCCCACGGCCUCUGAGGCACUGCGUUUCCUUGGCAGAAGCAGAGUAAAGCCUUGACCGUGCUGAUAAUUUCUUCUUCUGGACAGUGCUGAUUUGGGUUUUGUUCCUUUCUUUCUGCCUGCAUGGCAGCCCAGCACGCUGGACCUGUGGUCUUGGAGCAGUGCAGUGUGUUGGGGUUCCCCUCCCCAUGGCCACCACCCCCACCAGGCUGUCGCUGCCUGUGGCACCUUCACAGCCCUGCUACAUGCUGGGGAAGAGAGGAGCAAAGUGCUGAGAGAUGAUAAUUCAGCAUAAAUCCUCACUAGAAAGAAAGAAAAAUCCCAGGUGGGGUUUGCAGUGCUGGCUUUUCUUCAAGCCCCAGAGAGCUGCAGGUGGGGGGGAGCACUGGAAGUCACAUCUCCUUCCCCUCCUGCUGCCCCCUCACAGCCACCCCGGCACAGCGGGAGCUGCAAACCGCCCUGGGGCCACCGGCCACAAGCGACUUCCCCAGCGCAGCACAGACUUCUGCUUGGGAAGUGCAGCCGUGGCCGGGGUGCGUGAGCUGCUGCGCCACAGCCCCCCCAGCGCCGGAAGCUGCUGCGUGUUGUGUCUGCUGCAUCGCUGAGAAAAGGCGAUUUCAUGACUUCAUGCAGUGGCUCUGUCUGCUGGGGGGGGGGAAAUAUGCCCUCCUCCGCUUCCUCCUGGCUGCGAGUGAUGGCAGGCGAUGGUGAAGGGGGCACCCGCAGUGAGGAGGCCCAGCCCCGGGGUCCUGUGUGCAGCCUGAGCCUGUCCUGGGGAUGCUCCCUGUCCUGCAGCAGCCUCCCUGCCCCCCUCACCAUGGCCCCAGUGGUUUGGGGGCAGAAAUGGUGAAAAGCCAUCCCUGAGCCAGCGCCUGGUUCCUCAACACCAGCGUCACCCCGGAGAGAUGUCUCCGGCGAGGGCUGGGGCUCCCUGCAGCCCUCCUCAUUGCAGCAACUGCAUUUACAGCCAGAGGGGCUGGGACGCCUUUCGGGGUCAGCCUGGCUCUCGCCGGGGAGCAGAUGCAGCGGGUGCGAGCCUGAGUCCCAGCCGGCCCCUGCACAGCAGUUAUCUGGGUCACAGA
This is a long non-coding RNA of Anser brachyrhynchus (Pink-footed goose), 1719 nucleotides long. NCBI's taxonomy places the organism in Eukaryota, Metazoa, Chordata, Aves, Anseriformes, Anatidae. The record is from Ensembl.